UACGUAGGGCGCAAGCGUUAUCCGGAAUUAUUGGGCGUAAAGAGCUCGUAGGCGGUUUGUCGCGUCUGCUGUGAAAUCCCGAGGCUCAACCUCGGGUCUGCAGUGGGUACGGGCAGACUAGAGUGCGGUAGGGGAGAUUGGAAUUCCUGGUGUAGCGGUGGAAUGCGCAGAUAUCAGGAGGAACACCGAUGGCGAAGGCAGAUCUCUGGGCCGUAACUGACGCUGAGGAGCGAAAGGGUGGGGAGCAAACAGGCUUAGAUACCCUGGUAGUCCACCCCGUAAACGUUGGGAACUAGUUGUGGGGUCCAUUCCACGGAUUCCGUGACGCAGCUAACGCAUUAAGUUCCCCGCCUGGGGAGUACGGCCGCAAGGCUAAAACUCAAAGGAAUUGACGGGGACCCGCACAAGCGGCGGAGCAUGCGGAUUAAUUCGAUGCAACGCGAAGAACCUUACCAAGGCUUGACAUACACGAGAACGCCGCAGAAAUGUGGAACUCUUUGGACACUCGUGAACAGGUGGUGCAUGGUUGUCGUCAGCUCGUGUCGUGAGAUGUUGGGUUAAGUCCCGCAACGAGCGCAACCCUCGUUCUAUGUUGCCAGCACGUAAUGGUGGGAACUCAUGGGAUACUGCCGGGGUCAACUCGGAGGAAGGUGGGGAUGACGUCAAAUCAUCAUGCCCCUUAUGUCUUGGGCUUCACGCAUGCUACAAUGGCCGGUACAAAGGGCUGCGAUACCGUAAGGUGGAGCGAAUCCCAAAAAGCCGGUCCCAGUUCGGAUUGAGGUCUGCAACUCGACCUCAUGAAGUCGGAGUCGCUAGUAAUCGCAGAUCAGCAACGCUGCGGUGAAUACGUUCCCGGGUCU
This 860-nucleotide ribosomal RNA is filed under the name uncultured bacterium. Its description in RNAcentral is "bacterial SSU rRNA". It matches the Rfam family "Bacterial small subunit ribosomal RNA", at positions 524 to 1381 of the family's 1533-position model. The record is from RNAcentral.